UAGGGAAUCUUCGGCAAUGGACGAAAGUCUGACCGAGCAACGCCGCGUGAGUGAAGAAGGUUUUCGGAUCGUAAAACUCUUUUGUUAGAGAAGAACAAGGACGUUAGUAACUGAACGUCCCCUGACGGUAUCUAACCAGAAAGCCACGGCUAACUACGUGCCAGCAGCCGCGGUAAUACGUAGGUGGCAAGCGUUGUCCGGAUUUAUUGGGCGUAAGGCGAGCGCAGACGGUUUCUUAAGUCUGAUGUGAAAGCCCCCGGCUCAACCGGGGAGGGUCAUUGGAAACUGGGAGACUUGAGUGCAGAAGAGGAGAGUGGAAUUCCAUGUGUAGCGGUGAAAUGCGUAGAUAUAUGGAGGAACACCAGUGGCGAAGGCGGCUCUCUGGUCUGUAACUGACGCUGAGGCUCGAAAGCGUGGGGAGCAAACAGG
Molecule: ribosomal RNA, 429 nt
Filed under: Gemmatimonadota bacterium
Lineage: Bacteria; Pseudomonadati; Gemmatimonadota
Description: Gemmatimonadetes bacterium partial 16S ribosomal RNA
Rfam family: Bacterial small subunit ribosomal RNA
Source: RNAcentral